CACACACAGUACCAAUACCUGAUAUUCAUCCCAACAGAACGAAACUGGAAAACAACAUAAAACCUACUGCUGUGAGAAAUGGAGAUGAUGAUUGUGCACUGUAGCAGUCCAGCACAGGGCAGAGGAGAGAAAACAGCUCACCAUGCACCCAGAGGCACGAGGGCAGCGUACAGAUCUUUGGUGUCUGGGACUUUUGUCACUUUCACGGCUGUGACUCCUCGAUCUCUUUGAGUUUGUUCCCCUUGGGUUUGUCUGGACCACACUCUUCCACCUGCCCGCUCGUUACGACUCAGCCACUCCGGUGCUACACCAGCCAGCCACAUCAACUAUCGUGCCAGCCCCAAUCACUCCAGCCACUACCUGCCACCCUCUGUGCUUCACCAGCAAUACUCUGAGCUCACACCAUCUCCAUACCCUGCUCCCCUUUUAAUAAACAUCUUGUCUUUGUUUUGGGGCUGAAUGCCAACUUAGCUGGUAUUUUUCUAACCCCCCCCAAAUAAAUUCAAAAACUGUCCCUAAAG
Micropterus salmoides (largemouth bass) is the source of this 521-nucleotide long non-coding RNA. RefSeq lists it as uncharacterized. The transcript is spliced from 3 exons. The record is from RefSeq and is a predicted model, not a curated record. Lineage: Eukaryota; Metazoa; Chordata; Actinopteri; Centrarchiformes; Centrarchidae.